GGCUAUAAUUACGGUUCCGGUUUCCGCAAGGAAAUAAUUGGGAAUCCGCAAGGGCCAUCACGGCCCCAAACGGAACUGCCCCCGCAACUGUAGGCGCCGAGCCUGCUCCACGAUGCCACUGGGCCACCCCGGGAAGGCUGGAGCGAGGCGAUGACGCGCGAGUCAGGAGACCUGCCGGUACCAAUGUUGACCA
RNAcentral lists this non-coding RNA (193 nucleotides) under Thauera linaloolentis. The record is from RNAcentral. RNAcentral also lists the same sequence under 1 other name. Lineage: Bacteria; Pseudomonadati; Pseudomonadota; Betaproteobacteria; Rhodocyclales; Zoogloeaceae.